GCUACUCCCAGUCCCUGUGCUGAGAGCUUUGACUCCAUUCUGCAGCUGAGCUCUCCAGGAGUCUGGGGAGCAGAUGGACAUUUUAAUAAUGAGGAGUCUACACUGGAGGCUUUACUGUGGGAGGAGCCCACAGGCUGGCACAACAAGCCUUGGAAACUUCCUUGAAGCCCAACUGAGAUGUUGGAACAAGCCGAUGACUGACUCGGUUCCCACACUGGAAUGCCGGCCUGGGGAAGAAUGCAGCAGAGCUUUCUGGCUGCCUGCGACCCUCGGCUACGAUGGGCCUCCGACAUUCUCUUGCUCGUGCAUCAAGCCUUCGGCUGCUCACUGCCAAGUAUUAAGUGCUUGUUCCACAAAGCUGGUGUAGAUUAUCACUUUGCUGUAUAGAUGUAUCUAAUAGAAUUAAAUAGUUGGCUCCUGACCAGUAA
Canis lupus familiaris (dog) is the source of this 428-nucleotide long non-coding RNA. RefSeq lists it as uncharacterized. The transcript has 3 exons. Lineage: Eukaryota; Metazoa; Chordata; Mammalia; Carnivora; Canidae. The record is from RefSeq and is a predicted model, not a curated record.